Molecule: ribosomal RNA, 548 nt
Filed under: fungal endophyte
Lineage: Eukaryota; Fungi
Description: eukaryotic LSU rRNA
Rfam family: 5.8S ribosomal RNA (bases 173-326)
Source: RNAcentral
CUGAGUUUACGCUCUAUAACCCUUUGUGAACAUACCUAUAACUGUUGCUUCGGCGGGUAGGGUCUCCGUGACCCUCCCGGCCUCCCGCCCCCGGGCGGGUCGGCGCCCGCCGGAGGAUAACCAAACUCUGAUUUAACGACGUUUCUUCUGAGUGGUACAAGCAAAUAAUCAAAACUUUUAACAACGGAUCUCUUGGUUCUGGCAUCGAUGAAGAACGCAGCGAAAUGCGAUAAGUAAUGUGAAUUGCAGAAUUCAGUGAAUCAUCGAAUCUUUGAACGCACAUUGCGCCCGCCAGCAUUCUGGCGGGCAUGCCUGUUCGAGCGUCAUUUCAACCCUCAAGCUCUGCUUGGUGUUGGGGCCCUACAGCUGAUGUAGGCCCUCAAAGGUAGUGGCGGACCCUCCCGGAGCCUCCUUUGCGUAGUAACUUUACGUCUCGCACUGGGAUCCGGAGGGACUCUUGCCGUAAAACCCCCAAUUUUCCAAAGGUUGACCUCGGAUCAGGUAGGAAUACCCGCUGAACUUAAGCAUAUCAAUAAGCGGAGGAGGUC